Long non-coding RNA from Saccostrea cuccullata (small rock oyster), 621 nucleotides. RefSeq lists it as uncharacterized. Lineage: Eukaryota; Metazoa; Mollusca; Bivalvia; Ostreida; Ostreidae. The record is from RefSeq and is a predicted model, not a curated record. The transcript has 4 exons.
UAAGAUUAUUUAUCAAAAUGAAAGUAAUAAUAUAUUAUAUUCUAUAUAUGUUCUUUAUUUGUAAAUUAAUUUAAAUUAAUUUAAAAUGUAUCAAUUGUUAUUACCUUUCUGGUGGAUUUGCUCUGUAGCCGCUGCAGCUUGCUCUCACUGAUCAGGCGUCUCUGCAUGGGGAUGAGGUCUGCUUCUUUUCUCACGAGUUCUAGGAGCACAUACAAAGAAAGGUUGUGGGACCCCUGGGCCUUUUGCAUGUUCAUACUGGUGUGCCAACCUUCAACCUGAAAAAUCCGGAUGGACUGGUUGAAGGUGCACCAGGAUGACACAGGCCAGGUGUUGUUGUCGAUCCACGUCCGGGUGACAUAGUUGACGACUUCCCUCAAGGGCCCUUCCUCCCCCACAGAGUUGCUUACGCGCUGAAAAGCUGGAACGAUGUGGGAGGAAGGGCCAUCAGGUGCCGGACACACUUGUUGACAUCGUCCCGCUCUCGUUCGUUCUCCUGGACUUUGCUGAAUACUGCCUUAGACAAGUGGAAUACGCAACCACGGAUCCUGGCCUCGGGGAAGACGUCCUUCAGUCCCUUCCAGAUACCACACUUUAAGUCAGCUGUGAAUAGCUCCACUGCAG